UUGGAAAACACCAAGUUGUUGGGUGAACUUGCAAAAUCCAAAAGUUGUAAUCUUGAAGAUUAUAAUGGAGUACUCAAGUAUGAUAUUGAAGAGUGGAUGUAGGGAGGAUUAUUCCCAAACCACUAUAAGUCUAUGUGUCAAUUCUUUUAACCCUAACUCUCUUUCAGUUCUCUACUAUUUCUUAAAAUCCUUGUGCGCCUCCUAAGUUUAUCAAAUUCCGUAAUUUGGGGUCACCAAUUCAAUCCCCCUUCUUAGUUCCAAGGGACAACAAAGACU
RNAcentral lists this long non-coding RNA (276 nucleotides) under Ricinus communis (castor bean). RNAcentral's name for it is "long non-coding RNA (RCOM_LNC001036)". The record is from RNAcentral. Lineage: Eukaryota; Viridiplantae; Streptophyta; Magnoliopsida; Malpighiales; Euphorbiaceae.